GUUAUGCUCUAUUUGCCAGGGAAAAAGUAACAGGUUCCAUUUCUGACAGUUCUUACUGAAAAUUUAAGCAGCAUCAGCUUGUGCUCCCACCUGGCAAGGUAGAAAGCUGAGUUAUGCUACCAGCAACAACAGGAAGCACAACGUGGAGCCUGAGGCCUCUGAGGGGUUGAAGCUAAAAGCAACAAAGCAUAAAUGCAGCAGUGAGGCAAUAAUCCAGAGUGGAAAAGAGAGCUUUUUUAAAAAUUGUUCUGAAGGGAGUUCCAAACACCAAGUGAAGAGUAUGGAGUGAAGAUUAUGAUUAGGAUGGAGGCGACGUCCUAAGAUUCUUCCAAACACUGCAUCAUUCUCACACAGAAAAUGGACUCUUUCCAACGGUUAAAUCAAGACUGAAUCUUCGACCUGUAGAGACAGACAAACGCAUGCUCACCUUGUUGCAAUUUAGCAGAGCUCUUUUGCUGGUUGUAUAGCAAGAAGCAUGAAGACUUAAAGGCGGUCAAAUAUAUUUUCCCCCCACAAGAGAGGGGGAAAUCUUUGUUUCUGAUGAGAUUAAUCUUAUAAUCUGGAGAUGAUGAACAUCUCUAGAAGCCAUUGAUUCCAAAUGAAAACCCAGACUGAAACAGUGUCUCCUGUUUGGCAUCCAAAAUAGUUCAUACUGAAGUUAAGAACCCUGAACAAGUAGGCCCUUCUCCAAACAUUUGGCCUAAGAAUCAAUAUUUCUUGGUUUCCAAAAUACUAGCCCAUUUCUGCAAGUAUUUUACAACCUUUAGUUGAAAGGCGCUGUAUAAACAAGAUGUGCAUGUUAUUAAAUAGACCAGGGAGAAAAACAAUUUCACUCAAAGACAAGAAAUUAUCUAAAAGAGCCUAAAGAUAAGGAAAAGGUUUAAAGGAAGAAUUUACAUAUGUUUAUCAGGAAACUACAGUAAUUCAAAUAUAUAUAUGCUAGUAAAUUCAAAACGUAUGAUAAAACAGGAACAUACACUUUUCAAUGUGCUCAUGUGAUGCAAAGCUGAGGGAAAUUUACUGGAAAGCAUUAUUCAGACAGGCUACAGAAGAUAUACACAUCUUACAAGAGCUAAUCUGAAGGCAACAGUUCAACUCUCUAUAUGACUGUCACUCAGAAAUAUGUAUAGGACAUGUAAUAGUUACAGUAUACAGUACUUAACCUGGCACAAAUAAAACUGGAGAGGCAUCAC
This 1193-nucleotide long non-coding RNA is filed under the name Numida meleagris (helmeted guineafowl). RNAcentral's name for it is "lncRNA (ENSNMEG00000008306.1)". Lineage: Eukaryota; Metazoa; Chordata; Aves; Galliformes; Numididae. The record is from RNAcentral.